This 81-nucleotide transfer RNA is filed under the name Alligator mississippiensis (American alligator). It matches the Rfam family "tRNA". From Rfam's summary of the family: Transfer RNA (tRNA) molecules are approximately 80 nucleotides in length. Their secondary structure includes four short double-helical elements and three loops (D, anti-codon, and T loops). Lineage: Eukaryota; Metazoa; Chordata; Crocodylia; Alligatoridae. The record is from Rfam by way of RNAcentral.
GUAGUUGUGGCUAAGUGGUUAAAGUGAUAGACUAGAAAUCCAUUGGGGUUUCCCCAUGCAGAUUUAAUCCUGCUGACUAUA